Molecule: non-coding RNA, 489 nt
Organism: Suncus etruscus (white-toothed pygmy shrew)
Lineage: Eukaryota; Metazoa; Chordata; Mammalia; Eulipotyphla; Soricidae
Source: the annotation of a RefSeq genome assembly
AUGGCCUGGGCUCCUCUCCUGCUCCUACUUCUGGCUCACUGCACAGUGUCUAUGGCCCAGGAAGGACUCAUUCAACAGCCAAGCGUCACCAGUCCCCCCGGACAGACGGUCACACUAAGCUGCACUGGAAAUAAUGACAAUGUUGGGUAUGAAGGAGCAGUUUGGAUACUGCAAUAUCCAGGUCAGGCACCCAGAAGUGUGAUGGCCAGGAACAACAACCGGCCUUCUGGGAUUCCUGACAGGUUCUCAGGUUCUAGGGGAGGCAGUGUGGCCUCCCUGACCAUCUCUGGGCUCAGACCAGAGGAUGAGGCUGAUUAUUAUUGCACGGCGUGGGACCGCAGCCUCAGUGCUUGCACUGUGCUGCAGAGAAGUGAGGAAGUGAGACAAAAACCCACCAGCUUCCCUGGUUCUCAGCAGCUCAUGGGGAACAUACAAAACAGCCUCAACUUGAACAAUGAGCAGACAAAGGCUGGGUUCAAACAAAAAUAA